Pezoporus flaviventris is the source of this 576-nucleotide long non-coding RNA. RefSeq lists it as uncharacterized. Lineage: Eukaryota; Metazoa; Chordata; Aves; Psittaciformes; Psittacidae. The record is from RefSeq and is a predicted model, not a curated record. The transcript has 2 exons.
UAAAACAGGAGGACAGAAUUAUGGAUUAGUUUCUUCUAAAAGCAGUUGAUGCCUUUGGGAAAAUUUUCAUGACAGGAACAUGCACUUAGUUAAAGUCCAGGACAACCAUGGCAGAAUCGCAUGAGUCACCUGAUGCAUUUGUGGAUGCUUCAGCUAACGCAGUAUUUGUAAUAAUGUAAUAUCUGAUUCACCUGUCAGGCUAAGAGAGUCUUCCCAGAAAGUACAUCUCAAGUGAGGAAACCAUGUCUAUGCUCUUCCUACAGACAAAUACACUUCAGGAUCCUAUAAUGCACCAACUCCAAGGAAGAGAAAUCCACAGGCACAAACAUUCUCCAAGACUAAAACAACCAUUCAGCACCAAAAAGACAUGGAAGUGAACCACAAACGAGAAGGGUAUGAAGACAGGAGGAAGAUGAAGAAAGUACCUGAAUUCACAAGAACAACCUAAAUUGCAGAAAGAUAGGGGAAUUCUCAAGAGGAGAAACCAAACACGAUAAGAAUGCAAAUUCCAAAAAUAACACGUAGGAAGUACACUGUAACACUUCAAAAGUGAUUAAAUUUUAAUCCUUCAUCAUG